UAUUGCACAAUGGGCGCAAGCCUGAUGCAGCCAUGCCGCGGGUAUGAAGAAGGCCUUCGGGUUGUAAAGUACUUCCAGCGGGGAGGAAGGGAGUAAAGUUAAUACCUUUACUCAUUGACGUUACCCGCAGAAGAAGCACCGGCUAACUCCGUGCCAGCAGCCGCGGUAAUACGGAGGGUGCAAGCGUUAAUCGGAAUGACUGGGCGUAAAGCGCACGCAGGCGGUUUGUGAAGUCAGAUGUGAAAUCCGCGGGAUCAACCUGGGAACUGCAUCUGAUACUGACAAGCUUGAGUCUCGUAGAGGGGGGUAGAAUUCCAGGUGUAGCGGUGAAAUGCGUAGAGAUCUGGAGGAAUACCGGUGGCGAAGGCGGCCCCCUGGACGAAGACUGACGCUCAGGUGCGAAAGCGUGGGGAGCAAA
RNAcentral lists this ribosomal RNA (418 nucleotides) under uncultured bacterium. Its description in RNAcentral is "bacterial SSU rRNA". It matches the Rfam family "Bacterial small subunit ribosomal RNA", at positions 362 to 772 of the family's 1533-position model. The record is from RNAcentral.